UAAUAAGACAACAAAUUAAUCUGCUGUUGCAACAAGACUUCCCUACAGGUAGCCAGCUUGAGGGAGGGGGACAAGGGGAAGCAGAUUCAAAGUCCAGGCUUUGUACCCCUUCCCGCAGGAUCCCUGCGGGACCCCCCCGGCCCCUUUCCUCCCUCGCUGCACAGCCCUGGUAGACUGGAGCAGAUCUCGAAAGUCAGCGGGGGAAAGCAAGACACCCAAGCGGGGAGGAGAGAAGCGAAGAAAAGGCCGCGGCGGAUCUACUGGCUUGCAGCCGUCCCGGGGAGACGGGCCAUUAGGCAGAGGAGCCAUGGCUCAGAGCUCAGGGAGAGCAGCACCCUUUGAAAGGCUGGGUUCCCGUGAUUACCGCGGCAGCUUCGCAAGGACCCGCAGCGGAGCCCCAGACGCGAGCGAGAGCCGGGCCGAGCCCCGCUCCCUUCCCUUCCCUUCCCUCCCGGCCCGCUCCGACCGCCGGCGGCCGCGGGCGCUCUGCCUCGCCGCCUUGCAGGUGCCCCGGGCGGCCGAGCCAGCCCCUCCAUCGGCCUUUGCCUGUUCGCGCCGGUCCCGGAGGUUUCUCCCGUCCGCAGAAAGUUCAGGGCAUUGCCUAAACUCGUCCCCCACCGACUCCCUCCCCACCUCGGGAAACUUUGCUCGCCGUGCUGGCUCUGGAUCUGCGCUGUCCCCGCCUCGGGCCCCUCGGGCAGCCCAGCGCCUUGCCCGGGCUCUGCGGGGCUGGGGCGGGCGGGGGCCGGGACCGCCUCGCCCCCGAGCGGGGGCUGCCCCUGAGCCCCCCAAACCUGCUCCGCCGACGGACGCGCCUCCGGAUCGCCCCCAUCUCCCAGUCAGCAAUUUUAUGAUUUGCAAACAAAGCUUCAAACAAACCCCGCCGGAGAGGUUUUCCUCGGCGCUGCCGCUCGCGGUAAAAGCACAAUUACUCGGUUUGGUUCCCUCAAAUUAAGUAUAUAAACAGAGCUUUUAAUUAAGGGAUUUUUUAGGGGGGAAAGAACAUAGAGGUUUAAAAUACAAACCUCACCGACUGUCAGCACAGAGCCGAGCUGUUGCCUCGGCUGCCAGUCGUUUGCUGCACGGGAGGCUUGGAAAAGAAAGGCUGCGGCGAGCGCUGGGAACCGAGGCUAGAAAUCAGAGCUAACAGCGCUGGUUUUCUUUUGUCAUUUCUGAUGGAGUCGCAGGGUGAAAUAUUCCCCACCUAGACAGGGAUUCAAGUGCACAAACAGAGAGACACGUACGGGAGGCAAAUAAAAAUAUUCGCCCUUCAGAAAACCACAUCUCUUCAAUCGAUAGUUUCCCCAUAUAUAAAUGUGUGUGCACCACCUCUGUAAAUCUCAAUUUUAAACACGUUGUGUGUGAAUAUAUAUAUAUGCAUAUACACGUGCAAGCUUAUGCUUUCAUAAUCGAACCAAUCAAAUCUAUUAUAUAUGCUGUAUACUAUAUAUAAAUAUGACAAAGGUUUACCAAACAUGAAAGAAAAUUACAAAGGCAACGAAAAGGGCCUUCUAAAAGAAAAGUCUACAGAGGCAGUUUUUUGCUAUUCUGCACGGAAAAUCUUCUAAGUAAAAACUAAAAAAAAAUUUAGAAAGUUUGCAAACCCCUCUGUUCCUUUUCCCUUCUGUGUUUUUAAAGGAUCUGCCGAAGUCCCUUUGCAUCUGAGGUUUAAAUAGGGAGAUCAAUAGAAAACAGUUGUAAUGAUCUAAUUAAUUAUGGCAAAAUUAAAAGCGAGUAGAAAAUCAAUCUCUGAUGGUGUCGAAGAUGGAAUUAAAUUGAUAGUCCAUCUGUUCACCUCCUAGACCGUAUAAAUAUGCAACCCAAGGACGGAGCUAAUGGGAUCGAGCUGCCUGGGAGACUCUCUCAUUCUCUCUCUCUUCUUUUUACUUCAUUCCUUCCCGAAGUUCAGCCCCGUAGCCCCCGUGUUCCCGCUCGCAACCCUCUGUUCACCCAGAGUUCCCCCUCCCGCUGGAGACACGCAAAACGCUGCUUGUGUCGAGCAACUCAAACCGGCAGCAGUAGCCCGCAAAUCUCAGAGUACAAAGCCGUGUGAUUGGGAGGAAAAAAAGAAAGCUGAGGAGACAGCGUUCAGUGAAAGCGUGCUCCCUAUCGUGCUGUUUUUAAAUCAAACGGACAUGAUGAUGAUGACGAUGACAACGGAGUAGUUUGAGGAUGUUCUCCUCCUUCUGAGCGUCUUUUUAACAUUGGUCCUGGGUUCAGGGAAGUCAGCCCUUUCUGUAGCCGGAUUUCUAUAAAAUACUCUGUGUGUUCUGUCAGGGAGAGGCGACACGUUGAAUUAGUUUUGUUUGUCCGGUUUUCCUGACUGCGAAUCUCUAAGAGCAGAGAUCCAACGGGAGGCCCUCGGUGCCGCCCUGUCCUGGCGCUGUCCCCGUUCCCCACACCUGCCCUGUCCCUGCCAGGCCAACUUUCUCAAAGUGGGCACUGGGCAUUCCUGCGCCGGACUGUCCUCGGGCUUCUACCCGCCUGCCCACCACGGUGACAUUCUGCUGAACGACCAGCGCCACUUGAAAAUAAAGGAGAAUCG
RNAcentral lists this long non-coding RNA (2545 nucleotides) under Taeniopygia guttata (zebra finch). RNAcentral describes it as "lncRNA (ENSTGUG00000021362.1)". Lineage: Eukaryota; Metazoa; Chordata; Aves; Passeriformes; Estrildidae. The record is from RNAcentral.